GACGAACGCUGGCGGCGUGCUUAACACAUGCAAGUCGAACGAAGCACUUUUAAUUCUUCGGAAGAGGAAGUGACUGAGUGGCGGACGGGUGAGUAACGCGUGGGUAACCUGCCUUAUACAGGGGGAUAACAGUUAGAAAUGACUGCUAAUACCGCAUAAGCCGAUAGAGUCGCAUGACUUAGUCGGAAAAGAUUUAUCGGUAUAAGAUGGACCCGCGUCUGAUUAGCUAGUUGGUGAGGUAAUGGCCCACCAAGGCGACGAUCAGUAGCCGGCUUGAGAGAGUGAACGGCCACAUUGGGACUGAGACACGGCCCAAACUCCUACGGGAGGCAGCAGUGGGGAAUAUUGCACAAUGGGGGAAACCCUGAUGCAGCAACGCCGCGUGAAGGAAGAAGUAUUUCGGUAUGUAAACUUCUAUCAGCAGGGAAGAAAAUGACGGUACCUGAUUAAGAAGCCCCGGCUAACUACGUGCCAGCCGCCGCCGUAA
Molecule: ribosomal RNA, 487 nt
Filed under: uncultured bacterium
Lineage: Bacteria
Description: partial 16S ribosomal RNA
Rfam family: Bacterial small subunit ribosomal RNA
Source: RNAcentral